CUGGGGGCAGUAGAAAGCACUUUGGAGAAUUAAACAGUACGGGAAGAUAUAGCUGAAAGGCGAAACGAUUGAAGUCAGUCGCGUUGGCCGGAACUCAGCCUUGCUUCCGCUUGGUGUACUUUCUGGUUGACGGGCCAGCAUCAGUUUUGAUCGUUGGAUAAAGGCUGGGGGAAUGUGGCACCUUCGGGUGUGUUAUAGCCCUCGGUCACAUACAACGGUUGGGACUGAGGAUCGCAGCACGCCUUUAUGGUCGGGGUUCGCCCACGUAUGUGCUUAGGAUGCUGGCAUAAUGGCUUUAAACGACCCGUCUUGAAACACGGACAAGACAACGUUUCAGACGGGGGGGGGGACAACCACACUUUACCCAUACCCGCCGGUGAGGGGGGGGGGA
This 391-nucleotide ribosomal RNA is filed under the name Antrodia sitchensis. Its description in RNAcentral is "partial 28S ribosomal RNA". The stretch from base 14 to 320 matches the Rfam family "Eukaryotic large subunit ribosomal RNA", at positions 368 to 664 of the family's 3401-position model. Lineage: Eukaryota; Fungi; Basidiomycota; Agaricomycetes; Polyporales; Fomitopsidaceae. The record is from RNAcentral.